Molecule: long non-coding RNA, 1353 nt
Filed under: Sus scrofa (pig)
Lineage: Eukaryota; Metazoa; Chordata; Mammalia; Artiodactyla; Suidae
Description: lncRNA (ENSSSCG00025037312.1)
Source: RNAcentral
CAGGCCAUCUGACCAGUUUCACACAGACUGCUACUCCCGUUCUCAGCUUGAUCAAUGGCCACUGAAGAAUUUGAAUGUAAGAACUCCUCAAAACCUUCCAACAGCGGCAGCCUCUAGGACUGACUAGCCUUCACUAAAUGUGCCAGAACAAGACUGACUUUCUGGGCAGUCAUGUGAUUUCCUUAAACCUCAUCGUGAAAUUUUGACCUCCUUUGUGUGUUUUGCCCAGACUCCAGCAAGCAUUCUAAGUUUAAACACUCGUUGAAUUCUGACAUCGCAUGAGCAACACCUUCUUCUGAGCUUGCUGCUUCUUUGUAUGUGAAACCUGCCCUAUGCUUACCUGCAGCCCACAAGCUAGUCUACACGCUCCCUCGUAGUGGUAGAGUGCAUUGCCCUAGACUUCCUGCUGGCCUUCUGAGGCGGGGUAUGUGUAGUUGGCAACUUUGCUGCACGUGGGUUAAUAAUACACUUGGCUGAUUUGGCUCCACAUAGGAGCCUGGUGAGUCUGUGUUCCAGUGGGCCUGAUGAGUCUCCUGGGUAUCAUAGUCAUGGUCUCUCUCACUUGAUGUUGCCUAAGAUAUAGAGGACAAUUUGGUCCACAACCCCUGAAUAGAAUCAAUUAGAGUAUUUGAGGGGCAGUCCAUGUUUUUAAAAAGAACCCUCGUUGGUUAUGGGAAAGGUUGGGGUAUAAAGUUGUAGGGCAAUUGUUCUACCCUAAUGACCUUGCAUAUGUGCUUAGAAGCCCUGCAGGCAAGGCUCUGACUGCAGCUGACCUGCAUCUUGGUAGAAGGUCUUGAGGUCCUCCUUGGAGUCCAGCGGAGCCCAGACUGGGGUGCCACGAACCCUUGUCCUGGCCACCACCAGCUUCAGUGUGGGAUCCCCUAAGAACUGCCAGCUCUUCUCAGAUGAAUCUAUGGCUCGAGGGGUUGAGAGGAUUAAACCAGGAAAGCCAGAUGCUAUAGGAACAGCAGGCUCACCUCACUGACCUCCUCAGGGGACAUGCAGUCUGAGGACCUGGAAGGGGACAGUCUAUGGGAUUCAGGGAGGAAGAAAAAGGGAACUUCAGUCUGAAAUGUGAGUAAAUGCAAAGGCCCAGAGGCAAGAAACACAGGGAGGAUUUCAGCGGUACCAGGCACCCAGUAACCACGUGUGCUGCUAAUUAUUUGCUACUGUAAUCACCUCCUUUUCCUCCUUUGACUUGGGGAAAGGAUACGGCUUGACCAAGAGGCUCCUGGGGCAAUACCUGGACUGUGAAACCAGGUUGCACCAGAAACCCAGCCCUCCUAGCUUCUCCAAGACUGAGUGUACAGCCAGUGCCAACCUCGCCCACUGAGCAGCAAUCCCCUGAGGCAA